AUAUCAUUUGACACUUCAUCAGGAUGAUGGCCUGUUUACUGUAUGCAAAUAAUCCCUGAAUUAUGCAUGAAUAAUUACAAGUUUGCGUAUUGCUUUCCUGAACUGGCAUAUUGCCAUGUAAAAUUAGCUUCACUUUAACGUGAGCACAAAAACACGCCGACACAUCCAAUUAAACCUGAAGGAAGAGCUCACCUUGAGGGGAGCACAAAGCAGUGAGCCACGGCUGGGAAAGAGCAAAGGAGCCAGCACAGGAACCCCAGGACAGAUGAAGAUUGCUGCCCUGUAAUUGCAGGCAUUCUUGGCUCUGCUCCAUGUUUGGCAGCUCCUGUGUGUAACCACCCAGCUGUGGUAGAAACCAUCCUGUGGCCACCUGCUCUCCCCAGGUGUCAGCUUAUACUGCAGUCACCACCCAAAUCCUGCUGUGGAUCUGGACUUUGGUGCUCAUUCUCCAGCAAAGCAGCCGUGCUGAAGCAAAGAGAAGAUCCAGAAGAGCAAAUGAGACAAGGCAACAAACACUGCAGCAUGGGCAGGUGGGGUUCUACUGAAACAGUGCUCGCCUGACUUGGGCACAAAAGCAGAGGCUUUCAUGGGAAUGUUCAUUUCCCUUGCUGAGACUCCUAACAAAGUACAAAAAGAAGAGAAGAUCAGCAUCAUCAGGAAAGCAGACUUCAUCUUGACAGGAGGCAGUUUCUGUCUGUUUGUUUGUUGCAGAGCCAUGUACAAGAGACAGGAGCCUGAUGAGCACUUGGGGCAGGGAGAGACCCUGUGGAGGUUUAAUCUUGGCCUCUGAACCCCCCACUCAGAAUCCUGUCCUCCAAGCAGACUCAGUUCCUACCCAUUUCCACAGGAAGAAUAUCCACAGGAAGAGAAAACCCACCUGAUUUUCCCGUCUGGCUCUGUGUUUGAUAUGGAGCUAGGAAGAGUGGUUGGUAAAAUUAGCUGUGUUGCUAAGCCAUCAAAAUGCAGCUGAGAGGAUAACAAUGAUGAGCCCAGCUGUGCCCCUCGUGCUCCCACAGAGCUGCUCCUGGUCCUUGCUUCAUCACUGCCUUUUGUCUCUCCUCGUCGAGGAGCACAUAAAUUAUGUGAGAGGCAAUAAAACUGUUGUAAAGCUUAUGAUAGAAAUGGGCAUAUUUGUCUGGAUGUAAUCAACAGAGAUUUUCUCUGUAUAAUAACAAUAAUAAAGAUUCAGCUUUGGAGUGAUUUAGCAUGAGUAUAUAAGGUAUUCUAGUUGACUUUGAGAUGAAAUAUAGAAAAACUCACGUCCACUGUGUGUUGGGAGGAACAGCCCACUACAGUAAACAAGGCACUAUUUCUUUAGUUGUCUUGCAGGAUUAUUGGCAGGUAAGACACAUGUUUAGUUUCUGCUUUUAUAUUCUCUGUUAUGAUAGUGUCUGCAUCAGCAUCUUUGUGUUUCAGAAGUGCCAUAAAUAAUUCAUAUCUUUAUUUAAAUAAAUGUGGGUUUAUUUCCAAUUGGCAUGGAAAAGGCCUUUAUUUUCUGUAUCAUUGUGCACAGUUGUCAUACCAGCCCCUUAUUUCAAAAUGUUUGUGAGUCACUCAGAACACAUGAGUUAAUCAAAUUGCAGCAAACUUAGCCUGGAAUUUAAUUAGAUGAUCAACAAUUGUAGUUCUGUACUUUCCUAAUAGAAUGUAUCUCAUUGCAGACAGUUUACAAGGCAUUGUCACCUCGCCUGAACCCAUUAUUCUUGAAACAACAUGACAAAACAUUAAGUAAUUCUGUUGAUUGUGCUCUGUUGAGUAACAGGGGUCCUUGAGAGUCAUUCUAGACUAGUUAGUGAUGUGUAACUCAGCCGAGCAGGAAGGAACAUAACCCUGGCAAUCCUUGCUCCUGUGGGAUGGGAACCACAUUAAAAAUUAUCUCCGUGGUCAGCAAGCACGGCCUGGGUAGAGACAGGAUUCACUUGGUUAUGUGAAGAGAAAUCAGAUGGGUAAGUCAGAGCAACCAGAUGUGGGAGGAAUCUCCUGCCACACACACAGCUGGAACACAGACCAUUCAUAUUCCUGUUAGUUUUUGCUGAGCUAGAAAGAUGGAUAUCUACAUGAAUUAGAAGAUAAUAAAAAAUUCCACAGAUUAAGGCAUGCAGGGUAGCUUAGAGCAGAAUAGAAGCAGAGGCAGGAAAAAUCAGCACAGCCUAGAGGAAUAUAAAUCAAUGGAGAUUGCAAAAAAAAAAAAAAAAGCAAAGAGGAGCACGUGCCUUGAUUUCAAACUGCAAAGCCAAAAAAGAGCACAAGAAAAAAAAAAAAACCCUGCUGACCAACUUGUGAGGAAACAAAGAGUCUUCCAGCAUAUUUAGUUUUUGUGUUUCCAGGGAAAAAACAGUGACUCGGAUUUCCAUAACUUUCUCUUCUGUUUUUAUGAUCAUGGGAAAUUGUUUCACAGUUUUUCUUAUAGGUUUUUCUGGACUUUUCAUUUAAGUCUCUUUGUGAGCGUGGAUAUGGAGUUAUGGAUAGGAGUGCUUCUAAUAAAAUUUACUCACAUCCAGAUCUCCUGGUAAGAGAAGUAAACUUCUCUUCUUACUCACUGGUAAGAAGAAGUAAAACCUGGGUCUUGUUGUGAGUCGACCUGAAACCCUGCCAGGAGCAGGGUGUCAGAGAGGAGCCAUUCCUUGGAUACCAUCCCUCCAGCUGGGGUGGAGCCCAAGCUGCAAAUAAAGUAGGUGUGGAAACAGGGAGCUGCUGCCUCUCACUGGGUGCCUCUGAACUCUUUAAUCUUUUGAUUUAUUGUGCACAGUGUGUCUGCUUCUCCUCUUCUUGAAAUAUUAUAACUUCUCUUCCUCUGCUAAUACCCUUAACCUAAAAUGUGUCAAAUGGUCUAAUAUUAUUGAUUAUACAUGCCAUCGACCUUUCUUAUUUAGCAGAGUAUCAGUGUCCCUUGUUUGUCUAACAAAGGUUAAGUUUAACCUUCAGGGCACAGUGCAAAGAACAUCUGUUUAUUCAGACUUCUAGCCUGGGGUCUGAGAAGCACAGUUUGUAUUUGGGACCUCUGGCUGACAUUUGUUAACUCAGUUUGCAUGCAUUUUAAUGUGGUUUCUCAUGCCCCAAGGCAGUUGUUUAGAAUAUAAUACGAUGGGAUAUAAAUAUAUAUAUAUGGCCAAAUGAUUAUUUUCCAAGUUAUUCCUGCUGGAAUAUGAAGGAGAAAAUGAGUUUCUGAAAUCUUAAAACCCUCAGAGGUCACCAAGAUUUUCAUCAAGUUUGGGAUGUGGCAGUGGGCACACUGGAAGUCAGCAGCAUAUGAAGCAGAGAAAGAGGAAAAACACCAAAUCUGACUGGUCUGAGCCUCAGUGGGAGAAGCUGCUUUGGGGAGCAAUGGAUGUGUGCUGGGGCAUGGAGGAGCUCAGACCUCUGGAAAUGGAACCUCUCAGUCUCCAGAGCUCUUCUGCCUGUGCGGCUGUGGCCACACCAGUGCGUCAGUGUCAAAUUAAACUGCACAGCGUUGUGCCACGCUGGCAGCAGUGCUCGGGGUGGGGACAGGGCUGCCACGUGUCACAGGCUGCAUCCCUGCCUGGGGGACACCCGGCCCCUCCAGGGUGACCAAGCCCUGGGUCACCCUGUGAGAUCUCUCAGUCCCAUCCUCGCUGGGUGUGAUUUCUUAUCUGCCAACUCAGUUCUGCAUGAAGACUGCGAAGAAAUGUGGGUUUGCAAGACAAUCCCAUUUCCAGUAGAAAUUGUGCUGAUUUUUUUUUUUUUAUUGUUGUUAUGGUUGCAUAGAACUUCUCUUAAUGACAUUUAAAUAUGGGGCCAAACUUGAGCUGAUGGCAUCUCAUUAAAGGCAAGGGAAUAGAAAUUCAGAUGUGCAUCUUCCUCCAAGUGCUUUAUCCAGCAGCAGGAGCUUAUUAUCUGGUGUGACACUGUUAUCUGCCAGGAACUGUGUAUCUGUACCGAGCUGAAGACAGAUACAUUUAAACACAGAGGAUUCUGAGUGUUUCUGAUGACUGAGAUAACCAAAAACCUGUCUAAGGGUUCAGUACAGCUUCCUCAAUGGCAUCAAAUAUUCAAACAGGCUUCUUUAUUGGUAGGAUUAUUGCACUGCAGAAGCCAAAUGAGGCUUCUUAUGAUGCCUUAAGAAACCUAGAAAUGAAACAACACGUACUUUUGAGGUAAUAUUAGUAUACAUAGUAACAUAAAGCCUGGUCUUUACUGGAGGCCUCCAGGGGCAAAUACAGAAAAUGUCAACAAAAGCCCACCCCUAACGGGGGUGCAUACAGUUUUAUAAGUUUAUUAAAUUCGUGUAAUUGACAAAAAUCACUGAUUAGGAACACUGGUGGUGAUGCAAUUCCCCUCCAGUUCAAGGCCCUGCUAAAUCCUCUCCCCUCAGAUGGAAACUGAACCUGUUGAUGAAAAUGUGUCUCUAAGAGCUGUUUUUUGGUCUUGGGUCCCAGGGAGAACCAAGCUAGGAUAGGGGCUUUGGAAUAUAUUUUGUCUUUCUGCCUAUCAGGGCAGGGAAAAGUACUGAGAAAACUAGCUCUGGAUGCAAUUAUAGUCUACAGAGCUACAAAUAUUUGUGUAAAGAAUACAGAGAAUAUAUAAAAGAAAAAAAGGCAAAAAUCAGCACGGCAUCACUUAAUGCAAGGAUUUGUAUGCAGAGAGCUCAGAUGGAAAUGGAAGUGUGUGUGCAGAGCUCUGCCCUGCCUGUGCUACCCCUCUUGAAGCACUUCACUUUUCUCUAGCAGCGCUCCCCAAGGGAAAAAAGGAAGGCAUUGCUGUGCCCCCUUUCAGCUGUUUUCAUUCACAAGGAUUUAAAUGACAACCUCUCAGUUCUGCUCCUUUGCAGGGUUGAUCCCAUUGGCUCUGGCAGCCCCUCACUCCCUCGGUGCUGCCAGACUGGAGAUGUGCCUGCAGCCCCUCACGUGCUGCUGACAUUUCCCUGCACCCUCUCCUUGAACAUCUCCCUGGCAGCCAAAGGGCUCUGUUCCCUUUUGCUCAGGCUCCAGGUGACUGCUCUUGUGUUCUCCACCACCUUGUGGGCAAAGAACUGCUUCUUUCUCUGGAGCUGGAGCACGCUCUCAAUCUUCCUACACAGCAUCACUCUGGGAAGAAUCUCAGAAACAGGAAAGUCUUGAAUUUCUUUCUGAUAGAGCCACCUCAUGAAGCCCAAAACCAUUUAAAAGGAUGCUUCUAAUUUCCAUAUUCUAAUUUCUACCAUAACUUGCUGUGGGAAAAGUCAUCUGGGUAUUUCUCUUGAAGCAGUAAAUGGAGAUGUCUUUCAAGAUGUCCUCUGUGCCUGUUACCAUAAAUGUCAAAAACUCCUGAUGAAGUCUCCCUGGCAAGAAACCAGUUUGCUUUCAGGUGUUACUGAACAUUCUCCCCUGCAAGAAGGUCUUGUGCCUUCCUGGUCACAGGCAAGCAAGAGCAAAAGCAUUUGUCCUUGGUCUGGUAUUUAUGCAUAUAAAAUUAUCACCUCCAGAGAUGGAGUUUUUGUGAACCUUUCUUGGGAAAAGCCAUCUUAUUGCUUGGAAAUCACACACCCACGUAAGGAUGAUCAUCUGCAGUGGAGCUGUCUUUCCUCCAGCAAUAGAUGCUCAGGGAAAAAAACAAACCCACUCUUCAGAGGGGAACAGAGGCAAAAUAUUCAUCCCAAUGUGAAAGGGACAGGAAGGAUCUCCACAGAAAAGAUGUGAGUGCAGGAGGCAGCACAGCUGAACCCUCAUCCUGGGUGGGUGCUGCACUGCAGGGAGCUCUGGGUUCUGCUCAAAUUGCAGGAGUGGCCCUCCAGUGCUGCAGCUUUCCCGGGGUCCCUGGGGAGCUGUGGCUCCUCUCUCUUGCUAUUUACCAUUCCUCUGUGAUGCUCAGGGAAUGGGUCAAGGGCACUGUCCUUGCUCUCUAUCACAGCUCAGAGGGAUCUCUGCUUUCCAGGGCAGAAAAUCUGCCUUCUUGGUCUUCCAUUUCACAGCAUGA
This is a long non-coding RNA of Passer domesticus (house sparrow), 5913 nucleotides long. RefSeq lists it as uncharacterized. NCBI's taxonomy places the organism in Eukaryota, Metazoa, Chordata, Aves, Passeriformes, Passeridae. The transcript has 9 exons. The record is from RefSeq and is a predicted model, not a curated record.